CCCAGGUAUAUUAGUCCAUUGUUCAUUACCAUAACAAAAUACCUGAGGCAGACUACUAAAGAAAAAAGGUAAGCCGCAAUGGUGGUACACACCUGAAAUCCCAACAAUUUGAGAGACUAAAGGAGGAGGAUUAUUAAAUUCAAGGCCAGCUUGGACAACUUGUCUCAGAAUAAAAAAUAAAAUGGUUUGGGAACCCCGGGAUUUGAUCCCCAGUACCAGGAGUAAAAAAGGAAAGGAAGAAGGGAGGAAGAAAGGAAAGAAGAAGUAUUUAACUUUCAGCUCUAGAGGUCCAAGGGCCUGCAUCUGGUGAUGACCUCCUUGCUGGCAGAGGGAGUUACAUGGUAAGAUUGGGAGCACAUGUACAUGUCCUGGUUGUCCCUUUUCUCAUAAAUCCACCAGUAUUCAACCAGGCCCCACCCUGAUGACCUUUUCUAAUCCUUAUCACUUCCUAAAGUCCUGCUUCUAAACAUUAUAGUUAGAUUGUUUUCACCCUCUUAAAACCUUAUAAUGGAGAUUAAAUUUCAACAUACGAAUCCUUGUUCAUAUGCUGAAAUUCAACAUAUGAACCAUAUCCAAACUAUAGCACCAGGUGACCCAUUAGCUCUGAUUCAGACAUGCAUAGACUUUCAGAGAUUCCUGUAGAGAAGAAGAAAGGGAGCCUUAUAUCAAGGCAAUCAGGUUUUUUUCUAAAAGGAAGAUUUAGGGCCUCUCAUACCUGGAGUGGACAGGUCAAUAGUCCCCAUAUUUACCCUGGCUCCUCAUAGGAGACCAAGUCAUUUUGAGGAAGUGGCACCAAAAAGAGACAUAUCUUUAAAAAGGGGCUCAGGGUCUAUAAUCCUAACUACUCAGGAGGUCGAGGCAGGAAGAUUACAAAUUCAAGGCCAGCCUCAGCAACUUAGUGAGACCCUGUCUCCAGAUAAAAAGGGUUGGGGAUGUAGCUCAGAAGUAAACUUCCCUGGGUUCAGUUCCCAAUACCACAGUUAAAAAAAAAAAAAAAGCUGGAGGAAAGAGGGUGUCCUGGGUCCUAGUCUGCCAACGAAUUCUGUUUGGGUUUGUUCACCCUCUUUUCUGAAAUAGCUCAUGC
RNAcentral lists this long non-coding RNA (1084 nucleotides) under Marmota monax (woodchuck). The record is from RNAcentral. Lineage: Eukaryota; Metazoa; Chordata; Mammalia; Rodentia; Sciuridae.